CAUGUCUAGUAUAAGCACUUUAUACUGUGAAACUGCGAAUGGCUCAUUAAAUCAGUUAUCGUUUAUUUGAUAGUACCUUACUACAUGGAUACCUGUGGUAAUUCUAGAGCUAAUACAUGCUAAAAACCUCGACUUCGGAAGGGGUGUAUUUAUUAGAUAAAAAACCAACGCCCUUCGGGGCUCCUUGGUGAAUCAUAAUAACUAAGCGAAUCGCAUGGCCUUGCGCCGGCGAUGGUUCAUUCAAAUUUCUGCCCUAUCAACUUUCGAUGGUAGGAUAGUGGCCUACCAUGGUGGCAACGGGUAACGGGGAAUUAGGGUUCGAUUCCGGAGAGGGAGCCUGAGAAACGGCUACCACAUCCAAGGAAGGCAGCAGGCGCGCAAAUUACCCAAUCCCGACACGGGGAGGUAGUGACAAUAAAUACUGAUACGGGGCUCUUUUGGGUCUCGUAAUUGGAAUGAGUACAAUCUAAAUCCCUUAACGAGGAACAAUUGGAGGGCAAGUCUGGUGCCAGCAGCCGCGGUAAUUCCAGCUCCAAUAGCGUAUAUUAAAGUUGUUGCAGUUAAAAAGCUCGUAGUUGAACCUUGGGUCUGGCUGGCCGGUCCGCCUCACCGCGAGUACUGGUCCGGCUGGACCUUUCCUUCUGGGGAACCUCAUGGCCUUCACUGGCUGUGGGGGGAACCAGGACUUUUACUGUGAAAAAAUUAGAGUGUUCAAAGCAGGCCUUUGCUCGAAUACAUUAGCAUGGAAUAAUAGAAUAGGACGUGCGGUUCUAUUUUGUUGGUUUCUAGGACCGCCGUAAUGAUUAAUAGGGAUAGUCGGGGGCGUCAGUAUUCAGCUGUCAGAGGUGAAAUUCUUGGAUUUGCUGAAGACUAACUACUGCGAAAGCAUUCGCCAAGGAUGUUUUCAUUAAUCAGGGAACGAAAGUUAGGGGAUCGAAGACGAUCAGAUACCGUCGUAGUCUUAACCAUAAACUAUGCCGACUAGGGAUCGGGCGGUGUUUCUAUAAUGACCCGCUCGGCACCUUACGAGAAAUCAAAGUUUUUGGGUUCUGGGGGGGAGUAUGGUCGCAAGGCUGAAACUUAAAGAAAUUGACGGAAGGGCACCACAAGGCGUGGAACCUGCGGCUUAAUUUGACUCAACACGGGGAAACUCACCAGGUCCCGACAAAUUAAGGAUUGACGAAUUGAGAACUCUUUCUUGAACUUUUUGGAAGGGGGUGCCAUGGCCGUUCUUUAUUUGGGGGAGAGGAAUUUUUUGGCUUAAUAUGCAAAAACAAAAAAAAAACUCGGCCCUUAUAUAAACCGGGCCGCCUUUUUGGGGGCCCGGGUCUUUUAUGGGGAGAAUAAAGUUUCAACCCCAUGGAAAAAGCU
Molecule: ribosomal RNA, 1371 nt
Filed under: Aspergillus sp.
Lineage: Eukaryota; Fungi; Ascomycota; Eurotiomycetes; Eurotiales; Aspergillaceae
Description: partial small subunit ribosomal RNA
Rfam family: Eukaryotic small subunit ribosomal RNA
Source: RNAcentral